CCUUGAGUUUCAACGGUUCCAGCACGUAUUUUGACCGUGCAAAGGUAGCGCAAUCACUUGUCUCUUAAAUGAGGACCUGUAUGAAUGGCACAACGAGGGCUUAACUGUCUCCUUUCCCCGGUCAGUGAAAUUGAUCUUCCCGUGCAGAAGCGGGAAUCCUAACAUAAGACGAGAAGACCCUAUGGAGCUUUAGACUCCAGAACAGAUCAUGUAAGCUACCCCCAUAAAACAGGUAAUAACUAUUGAAUUUCUGUUCCCCUGUCUUUGGUUGGGGCGACCACGGGGAAGAAAAAAACCCCCAUGUGGACCAGGAGCACAUUACUCCUACAACCAUGAGCCACAGCUCUAAUGCACAAAACCUUUGACCAUUAGAUCCGGCAAAGCCGAUCAACGGACCAAGUUACCCUAGGGAUAACAGCGCAAUCCCCUUUAAGAGUCCAUAUCGACAAGGGGGUUUACGACCUCGAUGUUGGAUCAAGACAUCCUAAUGGUGCAGCCGCUAUUAAGGGUUCGUUUGUUCAACGAUUAAAGUCUUACGUGAUCU
This 544-nucleotide ribosomal RNA is filed under the name Chelon saliens (leaping mullet). RNAcentral's name for it is "partial 16S ribosomal RNA". It matches the Rfam family "Bacterial large subunit ribosomal RNA", at positions 1921 to 2606 of the family's 2925-position model. Lineage: Eukaryota; Metazoa; Chordata; Actinopteri; Mugiliformes; Mugilidae. The record is from RNAcentral.